Nannospalax galili (Upper Galilee mountains blind mole rat) is the source of this 4854-nucleotide RNA transcript. It is a transcript of the gene named solute carrier family 22 member 15, with no coding region annotated. Lineage: Eukaryota; Metazoa; Chordata; Mammalia; Rodentia; Spalacidae. The transcript has 12 exons. The record is from RefSeq and is a predicted model, not a curated record.
AAAGGGGCGUUUUACCAAACACUUCUAACUCAUGUUAUGUGGCCAUUAUACCCACCACUUCCAACCUUCCAAUCCUUUAAUUGCCAAAAUCGGGCAGGUAACCAGUAAAGGGUAGCUACUAAUUAGGUGCAAUAGACACGUGGUUAAUGGAGAUUUUAGAGGUAUAACAAAGGAUACUGGCGAGACAAGGGCACCUUCUGGCCACCAUAUCUAUUCUGUAUUAUAUUUGGGGGUAUGACACAAUCUAGAAUCACCUGUAAAGUCUCAGUGAGGAAUUGUCUACAUUAUGUUGGCCUAUGGGCAUGCCUGUGAUUUUCUUAAUUGGGUUGAUCUUGAAUGUGGGCGGCACCAUUUCAUGGUUCGGGGCCUGGACCGAAUGGACAAGGAGUGAUGCAUGCCUGAAUCCAUUGUUCUGCGCUCUUCACUGUGGAUGUAUUGUAACUAGUGCUGCCUUGACUUCCUGGAAUUGUGAGCCAAAUUCGCCCUUUCUCCCUUAAGUUGCUUUUGUCAUGGUAAAUUAUCCCCAGCAACAGAAAUGGAACUGUGGGGGGUGGGGAGAUCAUGGUUUGGAUACUUGAACAGUAUGCACCUGUUAAAACACUAAGCAAUCAGAAAGCAGGUUUGGUGGAGGCACAAGGGGCAAUCAGAGUCCUUUGGACCUUCCAAGUCUUUCCUAGCCUUCAGCCUGCCUGACCUGGCCACCAUCACCUCCUGCCCACAGGUGACGAUGCCCUCCUGUUCUGCUGAGUCAAGGCCUGCUGCAUUACUUCUGGAAGCGGGUAUCUCGCGGCGUGGCGGGUAUAUCUGUGGGUACCUAAUCUGCCCGCACAGAGCAGGGCUGAACGCGCGCAGCCGGGGCCUGUCGGGUUCGGACUCUAGAACUCCCCCGCGCUCCCGCAUUCCGUCGCACCCGGAGAGGCCUACCAGACCUCAGCGGGACACGGCCGGGUGCUGGCCAGGCCGGGAGGCGGCGGAGCGCAUGGGCCGGGCCCCUCCCUGCGAGUCUCCACCGCCCGGCGGCCCGCGCCGCACCCACUUCCUCUUUCCUGUCCCUCGCGGCGCCCCGGCAACCGCUCCACAAAAAUUUGUCAGUUCUGACAGGAAGCGUGGAGGCCGGAGCUGGGCGCUCUGCAGCGCAUCUCCGACGCGCUGCGGGCCUGGACUCGGGUGGGGUCGCCGGCCGCGCCUGCGGUGUCCAGCCUCGGCCUCUACCCGCUUGGGUCUCGGCUGCCUUCGUUCCCGCCUCGUUCCCGCUUCGACUUCAGCCUCCUCCAGCUCGGGUCUCGGUCCCACCCGCCCCGCCCCGCCCGGCCCUCAGCCCCAGUGGCAGCGGGGAGCCGCUCCGAGGGCCAUGGAGAUGGAGGAGGCGUUCCAGGUGGUGGGCGAGAUGGGCUUCUACCAGAUGUACUUGUGUUUCCUGCUGGCGGUGCUGCUGCAGCUCUACGUGGCCACAGAGGCCAUCCUCAUUGCACUGAUUGGUGCCACACCAUCAUACCACUGGGACUUGGCGGAGCUCCUUCCCAACCAGAGCCACAGCAACCAGUCAGUGGGCAAAGACCAGAACUUUGGGAACUGGUUUCUGACGGCCAAUGGCAGCGAGAUCCAUAAGCACGUGCACUUCAGCAGCAGCUUUACCUCCAUCGCCUCCGAGUGGUUUCUAAUUGCCAACAAAUCUUAUAAAGUCAAUGCGGCCAGCUCCUUUUUCUUCAGUGGUGUAUUUGUGGGAGUUAUCACUUUUGGUCAGCUUUCAGAUCGCUUCGGAAGGAAAAAAGUCUAUCUCACAGGUUUUGCCCUUGACAUCUUAUUUGCUAUUGUAAAUGGAUUUUCCCCCUCAUAUGAGUUCUUUGCACUAACUCGCUUCUUGGUUGGCAUGAUGAAUGGAGGGAUGUCCCUGGUGGCCUUUGUCCUGCUAAAUGAAUGCGUGGGCACCGCCUACUGGGCACUUGCAGGAUCCAUUGGAGGCCUUUUCUUUGCUGUUGGCAUUGCCCAGUAUGCCAUGUUAGGAUACUUCAUCCGCUCCUGGAGGACUCUAGCCGUUCUGGUUAAUCUUCAGGGAACAGUGGUCUUUCUCUUAUCUUUAUUCAUUCCUGAAUCACCUCGUUGGUUAUACUCCCAGGGUCGACUGAGUGAGGCUGAAGAGGCUCUGUACCUCAUUGCCAAGAGGAACCGCAAGCUCAAGUGCACAUUCUCUCUAACAUAUCCAAUCAACAGGAGCUACAAGGAGACCGGGAGCUUCCUGGAUCUGUUCCGUUACCGCAUCCUCCUAGGACACACUGUGAUCCUGAUGUUCAUCUGGUUUGUGUGCAGCUUGGUGUAUUAUGGCCUCACCCUGAGUGCAGGUGACCUAGGGGGGAGUAUUUAUGCCAACUUGGCCCUGUCUGGACUCAUAGAGAUUCCAUCCUACCCUCUCUGCAUCUACCUGAUUAACCAAAAAUGGUUUGGUCGGAAGCGAACAUUAUCUGCAUUUCUGAGCCUUGGAGGACUGGCUUGUCUCAUUGUGAUGUUUCUUCCAGAAAAGAAAGACACAGGUAUGUUUGCAGUGGUGAACAGCCAUUCCUUGUCCCUGAUGGGGAAGCUGACGAUCAGUGCUGCCUUCAACAUUGUUUACAUCUAUACCUCUGAGCUGUACCCCACCGUCAUCAGGAAUGUUGGGCUUGGAACUUGCUCCAUGUUCUCCCGAAUUGGUGGGAUUAUUGCUCCUUUCAUCCCCUCACUGGUUGAAGACUGUCCAGUGGUCUCUACCCUUCAUCGUGUUUGGAGCCACCGGCCUGGCCUCAGGCCUCCUGAGCCUACUGUUGCCAGAAACCCUGAACAGUCCUUUGCUGGAGACGUUUUCUGACCUUCAGAUGUGCUCUUAUCGGCGGUUAGGGGAGGAAGCUUUGUCUCUACAGACCUUGGAUCCUCCACAGCCCUCUGACAAGACUGGCUCCUUAGGGAGUGAAAGUGAGGAAGAGGAAGAGUUCUAUGACGCGGAUGAGGAGACUCAGAUGAUCAAGUGAAGAGUGACAAAUUCCUGCUCAGAAAGAAAGCGCCAUCAUCGUUAAUGCCUCGAGCCCGAACACCUGUCAAUGGUGCUCAGUGCACACUGACACUUUACAGACACAGGAGGCUGGAGGAGAAAUUCCAAAAGAGAAAACCUCAUGGCACUGAGAGAAUCAUAGUUAACUUAGUCCAGAAUUGAAGCUGAGCUCAACACCAUGACCUCUUGCCGUGCAGCUCAGGCCCACAUUCCAUACCGGGAGGCUGGCUAGCAUCUAGCUGUUUGUUUCUGCUGCCUUCCUUCCAGUGACCUGAGAGCAGAUGUGUGAAAUGUCACUCUACUUUCCUAGGAUUAGCCAAACCUUCCCUAAGAUUUCAUCUUUCUACCCAGCUUGACAUCUGCCCCUGUCACUUGCUGCUCCUCACCGGAAAUCUGGUGCCAGCUGGCGUGUCCAGAGGCCCUCCACCUUUGCCUCAGCUGAUGAAAUCUGAGUCUUUAUCUGGUUCCCAACUCAUGGUUGAUGAAAUAAAUAGCUUGUGCCUUCAGUUCCAAGAUCAUUCAGUAGGAAAAGCCAAACUCAACAGAGUAGUUGACUAGGGUCAGAAGCCCUCCUAUGACCUGGGGGCUCCCAACUUAAGUUAUGUGGUUUCUCCAGUUCCCAUUUGGGAACACUACCAAAAAUAUGUUUUUGUGAGAUUCUAGAUUCAGCAAUAACUUCAAAAUUGCACACAGUAGAUAAUAAAGCUUUGACUGGUAGAGGGCAGACUUUAAACGUGGUCUUUAAACAAGAGAACAAAGAUUAUCUUUCACAACUUUUGCUAUCUUCAAUGUGCAAUGAAGGAUUUGGAUGUUUAAGUAGUUGAACUCUUGCCCUAAACUAGUCCCCACUAAUUUUGUCAGAAGGCACGGUAAUUUUUUAGAGAAUGUUGGGUUUUCAGUAAGUGUUCCGCUGAUUUUUUUUUUUCAAAUGAAUCACAACCACACUUAAUUUCCUAAAACCAUGUGCUGAAAUACCUGUUUCUCAUAAAACUUGAACACUUCUCAAACAGGAGUGUGAACCAGGAGUCCACGUGCUGGGCAAUGUUCUUCUUGGUCACUUCCCCAGCUAUGGAAAUUACUCUGUGUUUCGAAUUUCUAUUUCUGAUAAUCUCUUAGAAAUAGAAAUUGUACAGAGGUGAAGGGAAGGUACCCUGUAGAUGCUUCUGGAAAGGGGCCUCUAGAUACACUCCUGGUCUUCUUCAUGUUGAGUUCUUGGUUCACACUAUAUCCCUCUGUUCCCUUGUUAGAGGUUUUUUGUUUUUUGUUUCCUGUUUCCUUUAUGCCUUUAAUUAUGUGUUCGGCUCUUGGUAAGUGGGAAGCCACCACUGUCUUUUCUCUCUACUAUGCCCAAACAUUGGCUCCCAGAUACACUAAGGACCUCAUAAAUGAUACUGUUUCCAGCCAUUGGGGAGAUUAUGGAACCCCCCCGCCGACCCUAGCAUCAUAUCUGCAAUCCCCAAACUGUGGAACCCUGGGUCUCUUUUCUCUGGAAAUGGAGCUCUGCCCUCCUUCAGCAGAAGAGGAAAAGAACUUACAGAAACCCUUGAUUCUUGUUAAAUGGUAGCAUAUUUAAAAUAAAGUAAUGAACAAAUGUAUAUAUAAUUCUGGUUGACUCAAAAUCUCUUUAUAAAAAUAAUAUAAUCCAUUACAGAAAAAUUCCAUACUAGAAGUUAGAAAAUGUGCUCAUCAGUCCAGAUCCAGAGAAAAUAAUAUCCCAGCCUUGCUCCCUGUGUAGAUUUUUGGAAGCUUUACCCUCUGUUGGCACUGAAGUUCCUGCAACUUCUGGUUAAGUGAAGAUCCAGUUAAUUCUAGCCCUGCGUUUGCACUUUCCCAGC